AGAAAAUCUCACCUAUACUUUUAGUUUCAAAAAUGGCAAAAAAGAGAUUGUCAGCCAGCCAUUGCUGACAUUUUAAUGGCUUAUAUGAUUAAGGAGAGUGAAAUAAGACUAAUAUUUUUUCACUUUAGAGUUCAUAAUUAGGCAAGUUGAAUUAAGUUUAAAAAAUUAGUUUGAAGUUGAAAGUGAUUUUUGACAACACAAGAUUGUUCUCUUUAAAAAUUUUAAAUGCUGUCAGCCUUUUAAUUAAGCUAAAAAUGUGUUUACUUUGCGAUUAUUACCCUUUGAUCCUAGUAUUUAGUGUCCAAAUUAGUCUUUUGAAAGGCAUGCUCUUUUCAAACCAGACCAGUGAUAGAUGAUGCAUGCCGGCAGCCAGAUGUGUUCCAGUCCAUUAUGUAGCUUCUUACAGUGUUGGGAGCAAAGAAAUGUUUUUAGUUUUUCAAAUUAUAUCUUCAUUUCACCACAGAGUGCCCACUUUUAUAUACAUUUGAGGAUUACUUUUAAAUAAAUUUCAUGUUGGGAAGUGAUUUCAGAAAUAUAGUCAAAAUAUAUUGUUGGCAUCUUGAGAUUUCUCGGGUUUUUUAUUUUACCAUUUACCACUGAAAAGGGUUUAGAGCUCAUUCUUCUUUGUUUAUAUAUUUUUUUACCUUGGUGUUUAUGCUGUUGCUUUCAGUCAGUUUUUG
Molecule: long non-coding RNA, 680 nt
Filed under: Bos taurus (domestic cattle)
Lineage: Eukaryota; Metazoa; Chordata; Mammalia; Artiodactyla; Bovidae
Description: long non-coding RNA NONBTAT000129
Source: RNAcentral